This 500-nucleotide ribosomal RNA is filed under the name uncultured bacterium. Its description in RNAcentral is "partial 16S ribosomal RNA". It matches the Rfam family "Bacterial small subunit ribosomal RNA", at positions 30 to 523 of the family's 1533-position model. The record is from RNAcentral.
AUUGAACGCUGGCGGCAUGCCUUACACAUGCAAGUCGAACGGCAGCACGGGAGCAAUCCUGGUGGCGAGUGGCGAACGGGUGAGUAAAGUAUCGGAACGUGCCCAGUCGUGGGGGAUAACGUAGCGAAAGUUACGCUAAUACCGCAUACGAUCUAUGGAUGAAAGCGGGGGAUCGCAAGACCUCGCGCGAUUGGAGCGGCCGAUAUCAGAUUAGGUAGUUGGGGGGGUAAAGGCUCACCAAGCCGACGAUCUGUAGCUGGUCUGAGGGGACGACCAGCCAAACUGGGACUGAGACACGGCCCAGACUCCUACGGGAGGCAGCAGUGGGGAAUUUUGGACAAUGGGCGAAAGCCUGAUCCAGCCAUGCCGCGUGCAGGAUGAAGGCCUUCGGGUUGUAAACUGCUUUUGUACGGAACGAAAAGGUUUGGGCUAAUAAGCUGAGCUCAUGACGGUACCGUAAGAAUAAGCACCGGCUAACUACGUGCCAGCCGCCGCCGUAA